AUCGACCCUCUUCGUGGCGUAGCUAACGCGUUAAGUUGUCCGCCUGGGUAGUACGACCGCAAGGUUAAAACUCAAAGGAAUAGACGGGGACUUGCACAAGCAGAGGAUUAUGUGGUUUAAUUCGAGGAUAAACGAAGAACCUUACCAAGAUUUGAAACCUAACUGAAUCCACCAGAAAUGGCGGAGUCUCACAAGGACAGUUAGGCAGGUGAUGCAUGGCCGUCGUCAGUUCGUAGUUUGAACCGUUCCCUUAAGUGGGGUAACGAACGCAACCCUCGUUGUCUGUUACACGUAUCAGGCGAGACUGCCCCGCUCAAAUUUUUUCGAGAUAAUGUCACUAAGUAUUAUUUAAAUAUUUUUUGUGGCGAAUAUUAACUUUGGUUGAUAACUUUCUGGAAAAACUUGAGCGGGGAGGAAGGCGAGGAUGACGCCAGGUCAGCAUGUCCCUUUGAUAUCUUGGGCUACACACAUAAUACAAUGGCGGCUACAACGGGCUGCGACGGGGAAACCCCGAGCUAAUCCUAAUAAAAGCCGUCCCAGUUCGGAUUGGGGGCUGAAACUCGACCCCAUGAAGUUGGAUUUGCUAGUAAUCGCGGGUCAGACAUACCGCGGUGAAUACGUUCUCAAGUCUUGUACUCA
Molecule: ribosomal RNA, 639 nt
Filed under: Candidatus Zambryskibacteria bacterium RIFCSPLOWO2_12_39_8
Lineage: Bacteria; Candidatus Zambryskiibacteriota
Description: bacterial SSU rRNA
Rfam family: Bacterial small subunit ribosomal RNA
Source: RNAcentral